UACAGAGGGGGCAAGCGUUAUUCGGAAUUAUUGGGCGUAAAGGGCGCGUAGGCGGCUUUGCAAGUGGAUGGUGAAAUCCCUCGGCUUAACCGAGGAACUGCCGUCCAAACUGCUUGGCUUGAGACCAGGAGAGGUGAGUGGAAUUCCCAGUGUAGCGGUGAAAUGCGUAGAUAUUGGGAGGAACACCAGUGGCGAAGGCGGCUCACUGGACUGGUACUGACGCUGAUGCGCGAAAGCGUGGGGAGCAAACGGG
RNAcentral lists this ribosomal RNA (253 nucleotides) under uncultured bacterium. RNAcentral's name for it is "partial 16S ribosomal RNA". It matches the Rfam family "Bacterial small subunit ribosomal RNA", at positions 524 to 776 of the family's 1533-position model. The record is from RNAcentral.